AUACGGAAGGUCCGGGCGUUAUCCGGAUUUAUUGGGUUUAAAGGGAGCGCAGGCGGAGAUGCAAGCGUGACGUCAAAUUUCGGGGCUCAACCCCGUCUCGCGUCGCGAACUGCGUCCCUUGGUUGCGGGAAGGGGAGGCGGAACUCGUGGUGUAGCGGUGAAAUGCAUAGAUAUCACGAAGAACUCCGAUCGCGAAGGCAGCCUUCCGGCCCGUCAACGACGCUCAUGCUCGAAGGUGCGGGUAUCAAACAGAAUUAGAUACCCUGGUAGUCCGCACAGUAAACGAUGGACACCCGCGGUUUGGCCUGUAUGGCUGAGCCGCCAAGCGAAAGCGUUAAGUGUCCCACCUGGGGAGUACGCCGGCAACGGUGAAACUCAAAGGAAUUGACGGGG
Molecule: ribosomal RNA, 393 nt
Filed under: uncultured bacterium
Lineage: Bacteria
Description: partial 16S ribosomal RNA
Rfam family: Bacterial small subunit ribosomal RNA
Source: RNAcentral